Long non-coding RNA from Canis lupus familiaris (dog), 7173 nucleotides. RefSeq lists it as uncharacterized. NCBI's taxonomy places the organism in Eukaryota, Metazoa, Chordata, Mammalia, Carnivora, Canidae. The record is from RefSeq and is a predicted model, not a curated record. The transcript is spliced from 6 exons.
UUCUCUCUGCCAAGGACUGAUUCAGAGUUCAGGGAUUAAGCCUCUGGCGUGGGGAUUAAGCCGCAGUUUCACAGGCUCUGACCCUCCCGGCACCAGAUGCUGGGCCUGGCCAGGUACAGCACGUGCUGUUGAGAAGGUCCUCACCCCGGGUGUGGGCAUGAAAGGGAAGAAUGAAAUGAGGGGCCCGAGUUUUCUGCUUUCAAUCUUGAUUCUCUUCUACUUCUGCUGAAUCUGAGAUGAGAACAUACUUUGGAAACAACCAAGGAGCAUGAAGGAAUUUAUCCCCAAGGCCAAGAUGAAUUUGAAGUCUCAGAAUGUGGAUGUGGCAUGGAAAAUUCUGGACCUUUAAUGCUUCCCCACCUGAGAUGACUAAAGCAGACAGAUCUGGAUUCUCUAAAAGAUGUGAACCCCAAAAUAGGAAAAGCUGGUGUGACAAUCCAGGGGUCAAGGAUGUGUUAGAACUUGGAGUCAUGGAUCUAAGACUCAGAACUCUUAUUUGCAGGUUUGUGGUUGUGUAUUGAAUAAUCGCUUUGGAACAGACUAAUGGUCAAGAGCUUCCUAGAAGUGUGAGAUGGCUUGUCACUGCACUUAUAUGGGAAUACCUAACGGAAACUGUUUAUAAGCACAAUGGUCCACCUGGAUAGUACAGGGACACACGUUUCUUCUCAGUUGUACAGACCUGCCAGCUCCUGCUCGGGAUGUGGAAUGCCCUUCUUGGAGGGCAGGCCUGAGUUGAUGCAGUGCUGGGUGAGUGGCAGGUUGUACAGAAGACUUCACAAGAAGGCUGAAGAUGUUGUCCUAGAUGGAGCUCAGAUACCAUGGUGCAAGAAUGUGUCAAUCACUCUACACAGAAAAGGCAGGAGACAGGUAUGCAAAGAAACUGACUUGCCCAAGGUUGCCCAAGAACUGGCAAUUGAAUCUGGACAGUUGGCGCUGGAGUCCGUGGUCUUAGCCACUGCACCAUGAUGGCCAGAAUUAGGAGAAAUAAUAGAGCAACUGUAUGUAUGCACUCCAUAGGAAACCAUUCUCAAACUCUACCCAAUGGACAUACAAUGGUUCAAAGACCCAAUGGACAUACAAUGCUGCUUCUGGUCUAACCAGAGAGGUGACUUAUGGUACGAUGCAGGCCCAUUGCUGACCCAGUCACCAGAGCUGAAUCAGCACUGAGAUGCUGCCCAGAUCCAUGGAGAGUCUGUUUAAUAUACUCAAUGAGGAUUGAGGUGGACUCAGACAGAAAUUCUCUUCUUGAGUCUAGUUACAGACAAGAAAAUCAGACUUAUCUUCUUUGCUUGACCAUAGCAAGUGUUGAUCAGGCAAUGAACGUUGUUCAUCCACUUUCUCCAGCCACUGAGGUGAAUGCCGAGAUGGUGUGGCUAAUUUCCAUGACAGCCACUGUGUACCAAAUCCAACACCUGCACAGGAUACCCUUUUAGGACAGAAAGGGCUUCAAUUAAAAAUUUCUACACCAUUUUCCUCUAUGAUCAAGGAAUUGUGUGACUUCAAGGGAUGGAAACAUUAGUCAGCAUUUCACAAGAUUAGAUUUCCGGGCUGAAGAUCAGAAGCUGCAAUAAAUCAAUAUCUGAAUUUGCAAGUCAGUGAGAAUAACAAAGGCACUUAUGUUUAGCCCAACUGCAAGCCCAGCCAGUAGGACACGAUCAUCUUCAUUGGUUCCCCAAGUGAUAAAACCCACACGGAUGGAGACAAAGAGCAGAUGUGGCAUCAGUGGUGGUCUUCUGUCCCACUACUGUGACUGGCGCCCCAAGAGGGUGAAAGACACCACAUUGGACUGUUCUGUCAUCACCAUGAAAACAUGAUUCCCUUCCCAAAAAAGCAGUCUAGCAAAAUAACACAAACAUGACCAAAGUUGGAGUUAAUUGCUGCAGGAGAAUGAGUGAUCUAAGGGAUCUUGGGGUAGUCAAAGUAUCUCAUUCCCUGAAAGCAUCACAGAGAAGGAGAAAUAAUGUUUUAAAAGGUCUAAAAUUGAAUCCAGAAAUUUGAGACUUUAGAACUUCUGGCAUCAAAUCCAGAAUCCUCCAUUCUCUUCUGAGACUCACUAACCAACUUGGAACAAGACUCUGAAAAAAUGGGGUAUAUCUUCUGCCUCCAAUCUUGCAGGGGAGCUUAGAAUCUUCCUUCCAUGAGAAGUUUUGGUACUAUUUUUUUUAAGUUUUGUUAUUUUUAAUUAAAGUGUCCCUGCUUUCCUCCUCUUCCCUGUGUCUACAUGUUUUUCUUUCUCUGCCAGCCAUUCCUCAUAUUUGUAAAUGAGAGAGGAUUAUGCAGAUAUAUUCGUUCCAUCCUCAUCAUCAACAGCAUCAUAAUCAUCAUCAUUGUCAUUGUCAUUAUCUUUGGGUGACAAGAGACAACAUGUGAACAGCAAUCACAGUACGUAAAAUCAGGGAAGAGUAAACUUGCAAGCAUCCUGAGUAAAUAGAUGAUAUCUCUAAGAGCAGAUGUUUCCACAUGUGCUUCCACAAGCACAUUCCUCUCUCACCUGUUCUCUUAGGGACAUGCCCAGACAGUCAAACUAUCCAUACAAAUACAGUACUUGUAGCCUGUGUCCACUUUAAACAGGACCCAGAUUUUCCAUUGGAAUGCAGCUGCAUGGCUAGCUCAACAACAUCAGCCAUCCUGAAGAUUCAAUGAUGAAAUAAUUUCCUCAAAUUUCCCUGGAGCUGAUGACAUUGGCACUCAUUCUGAAUUGGAGUGUUUAUAGCAUUAAUUAGGGAUCAAUACAUGUAUUAGAGAAAGGAAUUAUGGCAUUUUACUUUGGGAAAUAGCAUAGUUUUCUUCAGUAUGACAGAAAAACUCUGUCUUGAAAGGAAUUCAAGUUUUCCGUCUUCUUCAUUUAAGUAACAAAGAUGAAGAAUGUAAACAAGUUGACAUUUUAGUAGCAGUUCAUUUAACCAAUAAUCUUCGAUCAUCUUCUACUUUCUGUGAUGAGUAUUAUGCUAGAGAAUAAUAAUAAUGAUAAUAACUAAUGUUUAUUGGGUAUUUACUAUAAUCCAGGUCUUGUGUUCAUGUAUCAACUUUAAUGAGUGGUUGCCUGACAUGUGGUGCUGAGAUGGAGUCUGAGACCUUGUCAGGAUUUUUUUUUUUAAUUUUUAUUUAUUUAUGAUAGUCACAGAGAGAGAGAGAGAGAGAGAGAGCGGCAGAGACAGGCAGAGGGAGAAGCAGGCUUCAUGCACGGGGAGCCCGACGUGGGAUUCGAUCCCGGGUCUCCAGGAUCGCGCUCUGGGCCAAAGGCAGGUGCCAAACCGCUGCGCCACCCAGGGAUCCCCCUUGUCUGGAUUUAAUGAGAAAGAGUGUUGCAGUUGAUUAACGAUGUCCGCUUUGGGCACAAGAAGGAAAAAUGAUGAUACGUACAAAUAUAUUCACAUCCUAUGGCUUUGUAUUAUCAAUAAAGAUAGAAUGUAGAAUGCGACAAAGCACAAUGACAUUGUGCUCUGAAGUCCAGAGCAGAAAUUCAGGAAAAUCAUUAACAUGUAGGUGAAUUUUAUCUUAGUUUUGACAGAAAGUCAGACUUUGUUGGGUGAGGUUGAAAGAAAAGAGAAGAACAUGUUAAACAGAGGGAAUCAUUUCAACAAGAUGCUGAGGAAAGAGGUAGGGUAUGCUAACGGAUAGCUACUAGUUGGGCCCAUCUGGUACUUACAAGGGACAAUAGGAAUUUAGAGGGACAAUAGUGUGGAAGAAAAGGAGAGAAAGCUUCAAUAUUGGCUGAAAGUGGUUAGAAAUGUAUAACUAUUUAAAUUAUUUUGUGGUAUGGCCAGAUAUGAGGAUGAUUUUGAAAAGAGCACAUAGAAUUUAUCCAAGAGAGGGAUUAGAGCAUACCAGUGCUAAUGCAAUUGUGAAAGUCUGGGUGGGACAUGUAAGUUCUGCUAGUGUAGGAAACCGCUGUGAGCAACAUCAGCAGGUGGAAUGAAUUGUCUUGAUAACCAAGUGAGCACAUGGGUGAGGACAAGAGGCAUACCUAUCAUACAUUUCUAUGACAUUUAUUUAAUAGAAAUAAGGAAGCAGGAGGUUUUAUGAUGAUGAUCUUUAUUUUGUUCAUCUUGAUUUUGGGGUGUUGAGAGGAAAUCCACAUCUAGUAGGCAGUUGACAAUUAUGUUUGGUGAUCAGGAAACUCUGUAAGGCCAGAAAGAUGGUUUAGGGAGAGGUUUGCCUAGACAUGAUAGCUGAUAAACUGAGAAUUCAGGGGCUUGCCAUGGAAGAGAGCAGAGACAGGAAGAUAAAAAUUGACCUUAGCAGCUGCCUUUUUAGAGUACAGAAGAUGGAGCCAUGCCAGCAAAGGUGACAGAAAAGAAGAGGUCAUUAAAUAGAAAGGAGAAGAGGACGAAGAGAAUGGUCAACCUCAGGAUCAUUGUAAACAGCCCUGCCUUGAAUUUCUUUUGGAUUUUAGGAUGCCAAUGCAUGUUCUCAUCUAUUAUUUUAAUUAAUGUUCAAAAGUUUGUUUUAGAAUGUUUACAUAAAUUAUGAAAUAUCCCUGGAAGUGUCUUGGGUUUUGUGCUAUUUUUGCAUAUGAACAAGUAAAAUUUAAAUUGCUCUUGAGCUAUUGUUCUCUCAUGCAUCCCAACCAUUGAAAUGUGCAGAGGGUUAAGUGUAAAAAUGCAAAGAUCUCUCUUGAAUGUUCAUAGUCUCUAUUUCCCUAUCUGCUCUCAAUUUCCUCCAGAUAUGAGCACUCCUUUCUUGCCAUGUCAUUUCCACUGACUGAUGGGUCACAGAAUGGACUCCAUCACUGGGGCUCUAUCCUCUUUUUCCAGGAGCCUUAUGUAAAAGUCCAUAUAUAAAAGUUGGCUUCUAAAAAUCUUGAGGUAAAUAAAACUGCCAAAGAUAUUAUGAUAUUUUCAUUUUCUGCCUUCUUUAUUUUUCCUCCUAUUUUUCCUUUCUCUAUCUUUUUUUCAGAAAGUGAUUCCCAAGAAUUUCUGGGACUCAUCCUCUAAUACCACUUCUAUUUUCUGUUUUUUUUUUCUUAAUGUUUUCUUUUGCUGAUUUGCUUCAGAAUCUGGAAUUUAUGAUUUUUAUUUAUUUUAGUAAGAAUGUGUAGUAGGAGAUCAUGUGGAAAGCCAUGCUUAAAUAUUCUUAUGUUUUCUUCUGAUCUGUAACUGUUCAGUAAGUGAGGGCUGCAUUGGUAUCUAUAUCUUGCCAUCUUUCAGCAGCUUAUAUGGCAUUCCUAUUUUACCACAAUAUAAAACAUGCAUUCUCAAGGGGGCAAUAUCAUCUCCAAAAGGGGUGAAAAUUAGUUUCUUAGAGGGGGUGAGAAAAUCUUACUCAAAAUCUGUAAAGGACUUAUAUACAUAUGCGUAAACAAAUACACAGUCUAUCUGUGGUGUUAUAAUUUUACUGGAGAGUGAUUAGGGAAAAAAGAGUCGGAAAAGUCUUCUUAGGCAGUGAUGAUGAAAAAUAAAAGUUCAGAAACACUGAUCUAAAAGAAAAUUAUGGUUUGUUUCAACACAAACUCUUGCUUGAGCCAAACAUUAUAAAUAAAUUAUGAAGCAUGACAAAAUAGAGGGGAAAAUGGACAUUUUUGUCCAAAUAUUCACCUGUUUUCUGCCCUUUUGAGUGCUUUAAAUGACCUACUCUCUAUUAGUCAUAUCAUUUUUUCUAAUAAUAUUUUUCCAAGAGCAUAAUUCUAGGGUUUAGAAUUAUGAGUGACCCUGGUUUUUAAUCUCCUUUAUCAUUUGUAAAAUCACACAGUAGGCAUUUCUGUUUAACUGUAUGUAUGUAUGUGUGCACUUACCUUCUUCCAACAAACCAUUAUAAUUCACCCCAAUGUAGGAAUAUGGCAAGUGCUAUAGAGAACAGGUAAGAAACAAUAAAUUUGGAAUAUUCAGGACCUUGGGAAAUAGCAAUUUUGUGCCCAUCAAAUAAUGACCAGUUUCCUUUUUCAAUCAUGUCUGAAUUGCUAAAUUAUAUGUUGCUUCAUCCUUUGAUGGGCAUCCUUUAUCAACCCGUACCUUUCUGUUUAUUAGGCCACAUCCUUUUCCCUAUUUCGAUAUGAAUUUUGUAAAGUACUUGGCAUUUUUGAAAUAAAUUUUGUAAACCACACCAUCAUAUUAUCUGUGGUACAAAAUUGCAGUUAUGAAAUAAAUCAAUCAUGGGAUGAAGAGUACAGUCCAGGGAAUAGGAUCAAUAAUAUUGUAAUAACUUUGUAUGGUGGCUGAUGGUGACUACAUUUACCAGGUGUAAUGUAUAUAAAUAUUGGAAUUACUAUGUUGAUUAUUAUAAUAUUGUAUGUCAAUAUAAUAUUGUAUAAUAUAAUACCUGAAACUAAGAUAAUAUUGCAUAUCAAUUAUACUUAAUUGAAAAUAUCUCUCUGGGGCUCCCAAGACAAGUGUUUACUAUGUCACUUGCCAUGCAUUAUGAAAUUUUUAUAUGUGUGUGUAUGUGUUUAAGACUGAUCUUCUCUGGGGUGAGUUGACCCCAAACUUCAGGAGAAGAGAGGUAGUCAAGAGUGAUGAGAACUCAAGAGAAUCAUAGUGUUUUAUAUUUGAAAGAGUCAUGGAGAUCAUCUAGAAAACUGUACAAGCUGCAUUAUUCUAAUAGAAUAGUGAAGGUUCACCAAGGCCCAGGGAAGUAUGAGAAGUCCCCACACUGGGACAAGCUUGGGCAAACAGCCAAAUGCCCUGAUACUCAUUUCUGCAUAUUCUUCUCCGCAUCAAGUAAUGAUUUUCUGGAGUGCAAGUUUUCCUUUCCAAAGUCUACUUUCUUGUUCUUUGUGAUAUUUAAUGCAUAAUUUCUCACAAGUGAAGAUCUCAAGAUGUCUUAAUGAUAUUUUAAGUGAACUCAAGGCAUUAAGAAAGAUUAGAAAUUUUCUAGAAUGCUCUAGAAAGAAGACUCUUAAUAAAAAUCUAAAUGAGUAUGCCUAAAAAUUUGUGUGACUAUACCCUUCUAUGGUCACCUGAGCUCUUAGAAUGAAAUUCUUUGACUUCUGGCCUUGUAAUCUUUGUAUACUUACUAUCCCUUUCUUUUCUCCAAUUUUUACUGGCUUUUCUUUUAAUUAUCAUGUGUUUCAUUCAGGUUUGUGAAACUUUGAUAGUGGUGCAGUGAAAAACAACCUAAUGAGGAAUUAUUAGAACUUCCAUUUUGUGGGAUGGCAGUAUUAAUAGCAAAAUUUUAUUUUGAAAACUUUCCUUUUGUACAUGAUUAACAUUUUUUAAUAAAAGCAUUUGCAAAUAA